AAAUUAUUUCAGGAGAAUUCAGUUGGACAGUCACCCUCGAUUUAUCUUUAUUCCGGCAAGCUGAAUUCUUUUCGCUGCUUGCCACCCGGCGGGCAGCAAUCCUCUC
Molecule: non-coding RNA, 106 nt
Filed under: Pantoea brenneri
Lineage: Bacteria; Pseudomonadati; Pseudomonadota; Gammaproteobacteria; Enterobacterales; Erwiniaceae
Description: Salmonella mgtC leader RNA
Rfam family: Salmonella mgtC leader RNA
Source: RNAcentral